CGGAAGCGCGGUGGGCUGCACAAAAAGUAGCUCAAAAGCAAAAACCUUUCAGGCGUAUACAAAUUCUGAGGGAUCAGUACAUCUUUACUGCCUGCAGUACCAGCCUUGAUCUUCUUAUCUGCCCGCUGACUGAAGGACCUUAAUAUCUACAAUAGCAGUCAAUACUACAAUAACUUUGAGGUUUGAGUUUUCUCCUGUUAUUGCAUAAGGAAAAACUUCCUUCUUGGAGGCUGUUGAAGAACUAGGACAUAUUGUGCACUUCAACCUGAAAAAGAGAGGUAUGCCUGCAGUGCAAAUCCAAGGAAUGACUGCUGUUCGUGGAAGUAUCCAUCUCACAGAUGGGCUCCAGCCACUGAUCAGAAGCCAGUGGAGCUGUAGAUGUGGAUUGUAAAGAAGUCUGUUCAUAUUUUACAAACAGAAGGAUGCAGCUUUCUCCCUGUGUAUUUGUAGCUUAGAAAGAAUGAGCCAACCCCAGC
Molecule: long non-coding RNA, 476 nt
Filed under: Lonchura striata (white-rumped munia)
Lineage: Eukaryota; Metazoa; Chordata; Aves; Passeriformes; Estrildidae
Description: domestica (Bengalese finch) lncRNA (ENSLSDG00000004589.1)
Source: RNAcentral